GACGAACGCUGGCGGCGUGCUUAACACAUGCAAGUCGAACGGAAAGGCCCUGCUUUUGUGGGGUGCUCGAGUGGCGAACGGGUGAGUAACACGUGAGUAACCUGCCCUUGACUUUGGGAUAACUUCAGGAAACUGGGGCUAAUACCGGAUAGGAGCUCCUGCUGCAUGGUGGGGGUUGGACAGUUUCGGCGGUUGGGGAUGGACUCGCGGCUUAUCAGCUUGUUGGUGGGGUAGUGGCUUACCAAGGCUUUGACGGGUAGCCGGCCUGAGAGGGUGACCGGCCACAUUGGGACUGAGAUACGGCCCAGACUCCUACGGGAGGCAGCAGUGGGGAAUAUUGCACAAUGGGCGGAAGCCUGAUGCAGCAACGCCGCGUGCAGGAUGACGGCCUUCGGGUUGUAAACCGCUUUCGCCUGUGACGAAGCGUGAGUGACGGUAAUGGGUAAAGAAGCACCGGCUAACUACGUG
This 468-nucleotide ribosomal RNA is filed under the name uncultured bacterium. RNAcentral's name for it is "partial 16S ribosomal RNA". It matches the Rfam family "Bacterial small subunit ribosomal RNA", at positions 28 to 507 of the family's 1533-position model. The record is from RNAcentral.